GCGUGUGUGAGGGAGGGAAGGAGCUCGCAGUGGAGCUCGCAGCCCGCGCCGCCUUCCCGCAGCACCAGCCAGGCCCUGCCGCCGCCCGCAGCCCUGCGACGAGUCCGGGCCGAGCCGAACCGAGCUGGAUCAGGCCGGGGCCAUGCUGCUCACCGUGUACUGUGUGCGGAGGGACCUCUCCGAGGUGACCUUUUCCCUCCAGGUCGACGCCGACUUCGAGCUGCACAACUUCCGCGCGCUGUGCGAGCUCGAGUCGGGCAUCCCCGCAGCCGAGAGCCAGAUUGUCUAUGCUGAAAGACCUCUCACAGACAACCACAGGUCUCUGGCUUCUUACGGCUUGAAAGACGGAGAUGUCGUGAUUUUACGACAGAAGGAGAAUGUGGACCCUCGACCUUCAGCGCAGUUUCCAAACAUACCCCGAAUAGACUUCCGUAGUAUAUCUGUGCCCGGCACCUCGAGCUCCCGACAGCGGCAGCCGCCCGGAGUCCAGCAGUCCCACUCAUCUCCCGGAGAACUGGCUUUAUCUCCGCAGGGCUUGGAUAACCCAGCCUUGCUCCGAGACAUGCUGCUGGCUAACCCCCAUGAGCUGUCCUUGCUGAAGGAACGCAACCCGCCCCUGGCAGAUGCUCUGCUCAGUGGAGACCUUGAGAAAUUCACUAGGGUCCUGGUGGAGCAGCAGCAGGACCGAGCCCGGAGAGAGCAAGAAAGGAUUCGUCUCUUUUCUGCUGAUCCUUUUGAUCUUGAAGCUCAGGCAAAAAUAGAAGAAGAUAUAAGGCAACAGAACAUUGAGGAAAACAUGACCAUAGCUAUGGAGGAGGCUCCGGAAAGUUUUGGCCAAGUAGUGAUGCUUUAUAUUAACUGCAAAGUGAAUGGACAUCCUGUGAAAGCCUUUGUUGACUCAGGUGCCCAGAUGACUAUUAUGAGUCAAGCUUGUGCGGAAAGGUGUAACAUAAUGAGGCUGGUGGAUCGUCGGUGGGCAGGGAUCGCCAAAGGAGUGGGCACCCAGAAGAUUAUUGGAAGGGUGCAUCUAGCUCAGGUUCAGAUCGAGGGCGAUUUCCUGGCGUGCUCCUUCUCGAUCCUUGAGGAGCAGCCCAUGGACAUGCUUCUGGGACUGGACAUGCUGAAGCGACAUCAGUGUUCCAUUGACCUCAAGAAAAAUGUACUCGUGAUCGGCACCACAGGCUCCCAGACCACCUUCCUCCCCGAGGCAGAGUUACCCGAGUGUGCCCGGUUGGCAUACGGGGCCGGGCGGGAGGAGGUGCUGCGGCCGGAGGAGAUUGCAGACCGAGAAUUAGCAGAAGCCCUUCAGAAGUCCGUACAGGAUGCAGAGAAAAGUGGUGAAGAAACUACCUCACUGGGAAUGUCAUCGUUACCAACUUCAGAUGGAUUUAACCAUCCGGCCCGUCCUUCAGGACAGAGUCCUGAGAUUGGCAAUCCUGAGGGUCUCGCUCACUCUGUCUCUGCUUCAGUCUGCCCCAUCAAGCCCAGUGACCCAGACAGCAUCGCACCGAACGCUGUGAAGGCCUCUAAGGCUACCACUGAAUUCCAGAUACCCUCUGAAAAGAAAGAGCAUCUUCCUCUACAGGAUCUCUCUGGUCCUGCUUCUCCAGCAGACUGGAGUCCGGCUAUGCCCUGGCAGAAUUCACCCGAGGAAGCCACUGUUGCAGAUAAUCUGGAGCCAUCUCCUGCUGAAAGAAGCACCCAGAGCCUCAACUCUCCUCUCCACCCAACACAGGAAGUGUCUGUCACAGCGACUAGGAUGCAAGAACCACAGAGGUUUCUAGGGGAAAAGGGUUGGCAUCCAGAAUGUCAGACUCUGAGUCAGGUGAAUGGCCUUCAGCAGCAGGAGGAACCAGGGAAUGGACAUCAUGAGGUUGUACAACAGAACGUGCCACAUGACCGAGAACAUCUUUGUAACAAGGGGGACCUUGAACUUCUUGGAGAAAGGCAACAGAAUCAACCAAAAAGUGUGGAUAUGGACGCUGCGAUGAAAGGAGACGGGCUGCGGCAGGAUAUGGACCUCCCAGGUGUACAGAACAGUCUGCCCUCAGGGUGCUCUGACUGCUCCAGUUCAGAGACACUUAUGGAAGUAGAUGUAGUUGAACAGCCCCCACUCGCUGUGCUUAGUUUGGCAGGCGGUCAGAAUGCCAAUGUCAAGAGCGUCAGUGCAUCUGAUCUCACCUCAGAUAACCCCUUGAUGGAAAUGGAAACAUCAAAAUGCAACCCUUCGUCUGAAAUCUUGAGUAGUUCCAUUUCCACUCAGAAUUUACAGCUCCCAGAAAGUAAUGUGGAAAUGUCUGGAACAAAUGAAGACUGUGGGAAUUGCUCCCCCGCCGUAAGUCUCUGUGGCAGUUGUCAGCCCUCUGUGGAGUCAGCAGAGGAAUCUUGCUCCUCCAUCACAGCAGCCUUGAAGGAACUUCAAGGACUUCUGGUCACUAGUAGUAAACCAGCUUCAGAAAUUACAUCUGAAGAAGUUAUCUGUCAAUCAGAAACAGUAACUGAGGGCCAAACAAGUCUGGGGGUCCUUUCUGAAAGAUGGAUCCAGAGUGAACAGUGUUCACAGGUCUCCUUUCAUCAGGCCACAUCUGUUUCAGUAAAGACAGAAAAAUUAGUAGACACUUCAGCUGGCACUGGAAUGGAAGAUGUAGAAGAUAAUAACUUCAGGGGUCCAGCUGAUGGCCUACUAACUGACUCGGAAGGUGCCCCCCAGUCUACAGAAUCAGUAAAUGAGAGCAGUUCUGUCAUUCUAGCCUCAGCUAAAACGUCUAAUCAAUUACACUGCACCUUAGGUGUAGAAAUUUCACCAAAACUUCUAGCAGGUGAGGAGGAUGCACUCAAUCAGACUUCGGAGCAAACUAAGUCCUUGUCAUCAGAUUUCAUAUUGGUUAAAGAUUUGGGUCAGGACACACACAAUCCAGUGACAGAUGGGCCUGAGACCAGAGAAGAUGUCUGUCCUGAAGCUGCAGGGCCGCUUGUUGAAUUUGAGCCACCUACCAGCUCUCCAUCAUCAAGUCCCUCCAUUCUUCCCCCAUUGCUUUUUCCUGCUGCAGACAUUGACCGGAUUCUCCAUGCCGGCUUCACUUUGCAGGAAGCUCUUGGGGCUUUGCAACAAGUUGGCGGAAAUGCAGACCUUGCACUUCUUAUUUUGCUAGCAAAGAACAUUGUAGUUCCUACGUAACCAUGGAAAAGUGGGCUAGACCAUACUCCAUUCCCUUGGGGAAAAAGCUAUUAUACACACAUACACACAUUCACCACAUAUACAGUAUAUGUACUAGUAGAAACCUGCAAGCAGAAUGUUGAGCCAGAUUUUUUUUUUUUUAAGAUUUUUUUUCAGCCAAAGUAAUUUAUGAUCUCUUGUCUGAUGAAUUUGUCUAUUUGUUAAAAUUUGGGCCUUUUUAAAUGUAAUGGCAGUAUAUGUAUACAAAAGCGUUUUAUUCUCAUUAAGAUGAUGUAUUCUGGAAUAAAAUUGAUGGCUUUGUGUUUAGCAUACCAUUUUAGAAUGAGAGUGAGUCUUUGAGAAGCAGAAGCCCUGAGAAAGCCCACCACCCAUGCAGCUGAGAGCAGCUCAAGUUCACACUUCGGCUGUGUCUGUGCCACAGGCAAGGAACUUUCUGAAGAAAAGUGAUGUGUAAAACAUUUGAUAUUUAAGACAAUAAAGUUUUUAUCAUAA
Eptesicus fuscus (big brown bat) is the source of this 3670-nucleotide RNA transcript. It is a transcript of the gene named DNA damage inducible 1 homolog 2, with no coding region annotated. The transcript has 10 exons. The record is from RefSeq and is a predicted model, not a curated record. NCBI's taxonomy places the organism in Eukaryota, Metazoa, Chordata, Mammalia, Chiroptera, Vespertilionidae.